UAGGGAAUCUUCGGCAAUGGGGGGAACCCUGACCGAGCAACGCCGCGUGAGUGAAGAAGGUUUUCGGAUCGUAAAGCUCUGUUGUUAAGGAAGAACGAGUGUGAGAAUGGAAAGUUCAUACUGUGACGGUACUUAACCAGAAAGGGACGGCUAACUACGUGCCAGCAGCCGCGGUAAUACGUAGGUCCCGAGCGUUGUCCGGAUUUAUUGGGCGUAAAGCGAGCGCAGGCGGUCAAUUAAGUCUGAUGUGAAAGCCCCCGGCUCAACCGGGGAGGGUCAAUGGAAACUGGUUGACUUGAGUGCAGAAGAGGAGAGUGGAAUUCCAUGUGUAGCGGUGAAAUGCGUAGAUAUAUGGAGGAACACCAGUGGCGAAGGCGACUCUCUGGUCUGUAACUGACGCUGAGGCUCGAAAGCGUGGGUAGCAAACAGG
Molecule: ribosomal RNA, 430 nt
Filed under: Bacteroidota bacterium
Lineage: Bacteria; Pseudomonadati; Bacteroidota
Description: Bacteroidetes bacterium partial 16S ribosomal RNA
Rfam family: Bacterial small subunit ribosomal RNA
Source: RNAcentral